CGGCAUUUACUUGUGCUCUAUCCCACCUUUGCCAUAAGAGCCACUGGUCACACUGCAAUGAAAACAACAAAGGCUGUGAUUUUUCUUUUCCUUGCAAUUUCGUUCACCUUGCUAAGUCAAUGCUCAUCUCAAGCUCAAUGUGGACAACUUUGUGGUGUCACCAAUCAAGGUUUAGAGUUCGGCUGUCCUAACGGGUGCCAAUGUGUAACUCAUGACUGGGGCACUGGCCGCAAUGGCAGCAGCGGAAAGUGCUUUCCUAAACUACCAUGAAUUCUUCGACAAGAACGUAAUAAAUAAAGUGGCACGGGAAAUCAGAA
This is a long non-coding RNA of Dermacentor andersoni, 317 nucleotides long. RefSeq lists it as uncharacterized. The record is from RefSeq and is a predicted model, not a curated record. NCBI's taxonomy places the organism in Eukaryota, Metazoa, Arthropoda, Arachnida, Ixodida, Ixodidae.